UACGUAGGUGGCAAGCGAUACUCGGAAUCACUAGGCGUAAAGCGCAGGUAGGCGGUUCGGUGAGUCUUUUGUGAAAGCUCCCGGCUUAACUGGGAGAGGCCAAGGGAAACUGCCGAGCUAGAGUGUGGUAGGGGAUACUGGAAUUCCUGGUGUAGCGGUGAAAUGCGUAGAUAUCAGGAGGAAUACCUAUGGCGAAAGCAGGUAUCUGGGCCAUCACUGACGCUGAGCUGCGAAAGCUAGGGGAGCAAACAGG
This 253-nucleotide ribosomal RNA is filed under the name uncultured bacterium. RNAcentral describes it as "partial 16S ribosomal RNA". It matches the Rfam family "Bacterial small subunit ribosomal RNA", at positions 524 to 776 of the family's 1533-position model. The record is from RNAcentral.